AGCGGAGGAAAAGAAACCAACAGGGAUUACCUCAGUAACGGCGAGUGAAGCGGUAACAGCUCAAAUUUGAAAUCUGGCUCUUGGGCCCGAGUUGUAAUUUGUAGAAGAUGCUUUGGGUGUGGCUCCGGUCUAAGUUCCUUGGAACAGGACGUCAUAGAGGGUGAGAAUCCCGUACGUGACUGGUCGCCUUCGCCCGUGUAAAGCUCUUUCGACGAGUCGAGUUGUUUGGGAAUGCAGCUCAAAAUGGGUGGUAUAUUUCAUCUAAAGCUAAAUAUUGGCCAGAGACCGAUAGCGCACAAGUAGAGUGAUCGAAAGAUGAAAAGCACUUUGGAAAGAGAGUUAAACAGUACGUGAAAUUGUUGAAAGGGAAGCGCUUGCAACCAGACUUGCAGGCUGUUGAUCAUCCGGGGUUCUCCCCGGUGCACUCGGCAGCUUUCAGGCCAGCAUCGGUUUGGGUGGUGGGAUAAAGGCCUUGGGAAUGUGGCUCUCUUCGGGGAGUGUUAUAGCCCAAGGUGCAAUGCCGCCUACCUGGACCGAGGACCGCGCUUCGGCUAGGAUGCUGGCGUAAUGGUUGUAAGCGACCCGUCUUG
This 590-nucleotide ribosomal RNA is filed under the name Arachnopeziza obtusipila. RNAcentral's name for it is "eukaryotic LSU rRNA". It matches the Rfam family "Eukaryotic large subunit ribosomal RNA", at positions 49 to 656 of the family's 3401-position model. Lineage: Eukaryota; Fungi; Ascomycota; Leotiomycetes; Helotiales; Arachnopezizaceae. The record is from RNAcentral.